GUGGACUUGGUGGCUUGUAAGGCGGUGCUGGAGUUGUUGGUGGCUUAACUGGAGGUGUAGGAACUGGGGGCUUAUAUGGGGGAGUUGGUGCUUUAGUUGGCGGUGCUGGUGCUGGAGUUGGUGCUUUGGUUGGGGGUGUUGGGGGCUUAUAUGGGGGAGUAGGGGCCUUGACUGGAGGUGCCGGUGCGGGAGUAGGGGGUUUAUAUGGGGGAGUAGGAGCCUUGGUUGGUGGUGCUGGUGCUGGGGGCUUAAAUGGUGGAGUUGGAGCCUUGGUUGGUGGUGCAGGAGCUGGGGGCUUAUAUGGUGGAGUAGGAGCCUUGGUUGGUGGUGCAGGAGCUGGGGGCUUAUAUGGUGGAGUAGGAGCCUUGGUUGGUGGUGCAGGAGCUGGGGGUUUAUAUGGGGGAGUAGGAGCCUUGGUUGGUGGUUUAUAUGGUGGAGUGGGGGCCUUGGUAGGGGGUUU
This 460-nucleotide long non-coding RNA is filed under the name Gossypium raimondii (Peruvian cotton). Its description in RNAcentral is "long non-coding RNA (GRAI_LNC000818)". The record is from RNAcentral. Lineage: Eukaryota; Viridiplantae; Streptophyta; Magnoliopsida; Malvales; Malvaceae.